GAUUUGUGGUGUCUAUUUGGUGGAGGAACAGAGUGGUUCCAGUGCCAAAAUUUUACACCCCAGCCCAAGUGUGAGUGGACAAGUCCGGAGUGGGCCAGAAGCUCAGUAGUGACUGAAAUUGUGGUGUUUUUCGUAAGCUUCCGCAGCAUUGGAAGCCCUUUUGUAUGACUGUGCCGGACAUGAUGUGAUUUUGGGGUAUAUAGAAAGGUGGAAAGAAAAAAACAGGACUACAAUUCUUAACGCUGCUCAAUAGAGACACUCCUCAGACUGGGUGACUACUGAAGCUGUGCUUUCUGUCACUCACAAUGGAGCUUUUGCGGUGGCAUUCAGAGCCUCUCGUAGGCUGCAGAAGUGCACAAACAUAGUCGAUGCUGUAGUACGAGACUUUGUGGUAUAUUUCGACGCUCCUCUGCUCGUCGGAUAUUGAAUUAGGAAUUGAAGCCUGACAAGAGGGUGGAAAUCAUCUUCGAUAGUCGUGAGACGAAGAUACAGCAUUUUCCAUCGUGUGCACACCAAGAAAAACUCUCAUUGGAAAUUGUCUGUUGCUGAGGAGAAAAAUUAUCCCAUAGAAAGUGCAAUGUUGCACCUUUAAGCAGGACAUUUCUCAAAGUGCUUGUGAUUUCUCCUCGUAACAGCUCAGCAUGGAUGAUCCCAGCAAAUGGAAGCUCCAGCGACAACAAUACAGGGAUAUAUGAUCAAAUUAAUUGGCGAAUGCGGCAGUCAGACUGAUGGAAAUGUUCACCACGGAAUUGGC
Molecule: long non-coding RNA, 754 nt
Organism: Phlebotomus argentipes
Lineage: Eukaryota; Metazoa; Arthropoda; Insecta; Diptera; Psychodidae
Exons: 3
Source: RefSeq, a predicted model, not a curated record